GCGAAGAUGGCGGAAUUGGUAGACGCGUUAGCUUCAGGUGCUGGUAUCCUUAUGGAUGUGAGGGUUCAAGUCCCUCUCUUCGCA
This 84-nucleotide transfer RNA is filed under the name Serratia symbiotica str. 'Cinara cedri'. RNAcentral describes it as "tRNA-Leu (CAG) (tRNA-Leu-CAG-1-1)". It matches the Rfam family "tRNA". Rfam says of the family: Transfer RNA (tRNA) molecules are approximately 80 nucleotides in length. Their secondary structure includes four short double-helical elements and three loops (D, anti-codon, and T loops). Further hydrogen bonds mediate the characteristic L-shaped molecular structure. tRNAs have two regions of fundamental functional importance: the anti-codon, which is responsible for specific mRNA codon recognition, and the 3' end, to which the tRNAs corresponding amino acid is attached (by aminoacyl-tRNA synthetases). tRNAs cope with the degeneracy of the genetic code in two manners: having more than one tRNA (with a specific anti-codon) for a particular amino acid; and 'wobble' base-pairing, i.e. permitting non-standard base-pairing at the 3rd anti-codon position. Lineage: Bacteria; Pseudomonadati; Pseudomonadota; Gammaproteobacteria; Enterobacterales; Yersiniaceae. The record is from RNAcentral.